UCCUUUCCGUAGGGUGAACCUGCGGAAGGAUCAUUACCAAAAGAUAAUCUUUCAACACUGAAAGAUCUUUUCCUUUGUGCUGGCUUUGACCGUAUUGUAAUUUUGGGGCUUGAAUAUGGUUCCACGCAAGUGGACCUGCCCCAAAAAUCAUUAUACCAACCUUAUAAAAUUUGACUGAACAACUAAACAAUGAUUUUAAUAAUCUGUUUAAAACAACUUUCAACAACGGAUCUCUUGGUUCUCGCAUCGAUGAAGAACGCAGCGAAAUGCGAUACGUAAUGUGAAUUGCAGAAUUCAGUGAAUCAUCGAAUCUUUGAACGCACAUUGCACUCUCUGGUAUUCCGGAGAGUAUGCCUGUUUCAGUAUCAUGAGCACUCUCACACCUAACCUUUGGGGAUAAAGUGUGGAAUUGGGAUGCGCCAGUUUGCAAAGAUUGGCCCUCUUAAAAUUCAGUUCUUGGCUGUUUUCAAUAUGAGCAGUUUGGCCUAAUAGUUUUGGCUCUUUUGUCAAAUCUUUGGCUUCAUUCGCUUCUGAAAAUCAGUCUUGAUAUACAGAAAACUCAUUCAAACUUUGAUCUGAAAUCAAGUAGGGGUACCCGCUGAACUUAAGCAUAUCAAUAAGCGGGAGA
RNAcentral lists this ribosomal RNA (628 nucleotides) under Umbelopsis autotrophica. RNAcentral's name for it is "eukaryotic LSU rRNA". The stretch from base 215 to 368 matches the Rfam family "5.8S ribosomal RNA". The record is from RNAcentral. Lineage: Eukaryota; Fungi; Mucoromycota; Umbelopsidomycetes; Umbelopsidales; Umbelopsidaceae.